GAUCCCAUCAGAACUCCGCAGUUAAGCGUGCUUGGGCGAGAGUAGUACUAGGAUGGGUGACCCCCUGGGAAGUCCUCGUGUUGCAUCCCU
RNAcentral lists this ribosomal RNA (90 nucleotides) under Solanum maglia. The record is from RNAcentral. Lineage: Eukaryota; Viridiplantae; Streptophyta; Magnoliopsida; Solanales; Solanaceae.